Molecule: ribosomal RNA, 851 nt
Filed under: uncultured Bacillota bacterium
Lineage: Bacteria; Bacillati; Bacillota
Description: bacterial SSU rRNA
Rfam family: Bacterial small subunit ribosomal RNA
Source: RNAcentral
AACGCGAAAGCCUCCUUCGGGGGGCAAGUAGAGUGGCGCACGGGUGAGUAACACGUAGGUAAUCUACCUUUGGAUUGGGAAUAACAACCGGAAACGGUUGCUAAUACCGAAUAAUGCAGCGGCACCUAAUGGUGACAGUUGUUAAAGCGGGGGAUCGCAAGACCUCGCGUCUAAAGAGGAGCCUGCGGCGGAUUAGCUAGUUGGUAAGGUAACGGCUUACCAAGGCGAUGAUCCGUAGCCGGCCUGAGAGGGCGGUCGGCCACACUGACACUGACAUACGGGUCAGACUCCUACGGGAGGCAGCAGUCGGGAAUUUUGGGCAAUGGGCGAAAGCCUGACCCAGCAACGCCGCGUGAAGGAUGAAAUCCUUCGGGAUGUAAACUUCGCAAGAACGGGAAGAAUAAGUGGGAGUUAAUAUCUCUCACGAUGACGGUACUGUUUGUAAGCUCCGGCUAACUCCGUGCCAGCAGCCGCGGUAAUACGGGGGGAGCAAGCGUUGUUCGGAUUUACUGGGCGUAAAGGGCGCGUAGGCGGCCACCGCAAGUCGACUGUGAAAUCUCCGGGCUUAACCCGGAAAGGUCAGCCGAUACUGCGGGGCUAGAGUGCAGAAGGGGCAACUGGAAUUCUCGGUGUAGCGGUGAAAUGCGUAGAUAUCGAGAGGAACACCUGCGGCGAAGGCGGGUUGCUGGGCUGACACUGACGCUGAGGCGCGAAAGCUAGGGGAGCGAACGGGAUUAGAUACCCCGGUAGUCCUAGCCUUAAACGAUGAAUGCUUGGUGUCUGGGGUUUUAUAGUCCCCGGGUGCCGUCGCUAACGCUUUAAGCAUUCCGCCUGGGGAGUACGGUCGCAAG